Non-coding RNA from Potamilus streckersoni, 73 nucleotides. Lineage: Eukaryota; Metazoa; Mollusca; Bivalvia; Unionida; Unionidae. The record is from the annotation of a GenBank genome assembly.
GCUCCGGUGGCUUAGUGGUUAGAGAUUACGCCUCGGAUGCGGAAGGUCACGGGUUCGAAUACCAGCCGAGUCA